RNAcentral lists this ribosomal RNA (468 nucleotides) under Triticum aestivum (bread wheat). RNAcentral describes it as "partial small subunit ribosomal RNA". The record is from RNAcentral. Lineage: Eukaryota; Viridiplantae; Streptophyta; Magnoliopsida; Poales; Poaceae.
AUGCAGGCCUGGCCCGUGCCCACGACGCCCACCGAGCUCCGCGACUUCCUCGGCCUCACGGGCUACUACCGUAAAUUCGUGCCACACUACGGCAUCAUCGCCAAGCCCCUGACGCGCCUCCUCACCAAGAAGGGAUUUCUCUGGGAUGAUCAAGCGCAAACUGCUUUCGAGAUGCUGAAGAAGGCGAUGGUGAGCACACCAGUUCUGGCAUUGCCAGAUUUCAAGCGCCCGUUCGCCAUCGAGACCGACGCGUGCGACACUGGCAUCGGUGCCGUCCUGACGCAAGACAACCACCCGAUCGCGUACUUGAGCAAGGCGCUCGGCGUGCGGAAUCAGAAACUCUCGGCGUACGAGAAGGAGUUCCUCGCCGUGAUGAUGGCGAUCGACAAGUGGCGUCCCUACCUCCAGCGCGCUGCGUUUGAAAUCGUCACCGACCACAAGAGUUUGUGUUCCUUGGGCGAUCAAUAG